GGCUGUGGUUGCGAUCUGAUAAGAAAUAGUCAUAUAGCCAACCAACUGCCCAAUGGUGGUCGAGCAAAAAAUAGCCAACAACAAGCAGUUAGCCUAGAAAAAGGCAUUGCAAAUAGGACCGAAUUGAGGCCUUUUGUUCAGUCAUUCUUGGGUCCCAACCUGCUCAUCAGCGGCUUGGGCUUUGACUCUAGCCAAAGGCUAAUGUAGGGGGG
Molecule: long non-coding RNA, 212 nt
Filed under: Elaeis guineensis (African oil palm)
Lineage: Eukaryota; Viridiplantae; Streptophyta; Magnoliopsida; Arecales; Arecaceae
Description: long non-coding RNA (EGUI_LNC024367)
Source: RNAcentral